UGGGGAAUAUUGCGCAAUGGGGGAAACCCUGACGCAGCAACGCCGCGUGAGUGAUGAAGGCUUUCGGGUUGUAAAACUCUGUCGGAAGAGACGAAACCAUCCCGGUCUAAUACAUCGGGAUAUUGACGGUAUCUUCAAAGGAAGCACCGGCUAACUCCGUGCCAGCAGCCGCGGUAAUACGGAGGGUGCAAGCGUUGUUCGGAAUUACUGGGCGUAAAGAGCGCGUAGGCGGUUACUUAUGUCAGGUGUGAAAGCCCUCGGCCUAACCGAGGAAGUGCGCCUGAAACUGAGUAGCUUGAGUACGAGAGAGGAAGACGGAAUUCUCAGUGUAGAGGUGAAAUUCGUAGAUAUUGGGAAGAACACCGGUGGCGAAAGCGGUUUUCUGGAUCGAUACUGACGCUGAGGCGCGAAAGCGUGGGGAGCAAACAGG
This 430-nucleotide ribosomal RNA is filed under the name uncultured bacterium. RNAcentral's name for it is "bacterial SSU rRNA". It matches the Rfam family "Bacterial small subunit ribosomal RNA", at positions 355 to 776 of the family's 1533-position model. The record is from RNAcentral.